RNAcentral lists this ribosomal RNA (253 nucleotides) under uncultured bacterium. RNAcentral's name for it is "partial 16S ribosomal RNA". It matches the Rfam family "Bacterial small subunit ribosomal RNA", at positions 524 to 776 of the family's 1533-position model. The record is from RNAcentral.
UACGAAGGUGGCGAGCGUUGUUCGGAAUCACUGGGCAUAAAGCGCACGUAGGCGGUGCCGUAAGUCGGCUGUGAAAUCCCUCGGCCUAACCGAGGAACUGCGUCCGAUACUGCGGUGCUUGAGGAUCAGAGGGGUGCAUGGAAUUUCCGGUGGAGCGGUGAAAUGCGUUGAUAUCGAGAGGAACACCAGUGGCGAAGGCGAGUCCCUGGACAACACCUGACACUGAGGCACGAAAGCCGGGGGAGCAAACAGG